UCCCACUUUGAUACUCCAAACUCUGCGUUCCAAAAUCCUCACUUCUCCCCAAUUUCAAACAUAGUUCUCUUACUACAUCAUGAAGUUUGCAUGUCUCGUAUUUUCUUCCCGGUCUGACACCAUCAUAAAUUUCGACUUGGACGAUGGACCUGGAGGCCAACUCACCCAAGUAGAGCUCUGCAAUUUCCUUCAAAGUUUUGUCCUUGUCUCCAAUAGAAAUCAUGCCUUGUGCUCUCCACAUCAAAUAUAGAUCGUCAACAUCUAUAUCUUCAUCCUCUUGAAAUAUACCCAUAUAGAGAAAGCAAGACUUCAAAUAAUAGGGUAGACUUUCAUAGCUUAAAUUUAGCACUCCAUCAAUCUCACUUUCACCUCUAUAUAUGAAUUCUNAGAAAAUGUUAAAAAUAUUUUCACACCCCUACCAUAGGAUAAUAAUCAAAUAUUAAAGAGAAAAUGGGUGAAAAUGAAUUGCUCGAAAAAAUAUUUGACCCUCCUCGGAAAAAAUUUCCACCAUACUAAACAUGUGAAAAUGGUAAAAAAUGAGUGAAAAUAUAUUUUCUCUCUCAUUUUCCAUCAAUGUAAACGUAGCUUUAGUACUAUGUUUACAGAAGUAUAUUUUCUGGGAUGUGUCAUAUAAACAUCGAGUACUGAUACAAUAUUUGGGGCAUUUUCGUUAAUCUUUUGGACCUUAACUCUCUCAUUCCAUUGCUCAAAUAAUGGUGAAGGUAUAUGCUGAAUUGGCAUUAUUAAGAAUUUUAUGUUUCGUUUUACUAUCAGUCUUGAGAAACACUUAAUUUGUUGACAUGGAAAAUUGAGUCUAUUGUUCGCCCUCUCUCUCUUCAACUGACCAUUUCCCUUGUUUUUUUCCUGUCUAAAUUUAUAGAUUGAGUUUAAAAUUUUGAAACGUUAAUUACAAACAAUUAAUUGAAUUCAAACACAACAGGAAUUUGAAUACAAUUCCCUAUAUGUUGACCGGAAAAGAGUCCAACUAAAGCAGCUUCAAAUCCUUACAAAAAUCAACAAUUCAAGAACUCCUUAAUGAUAGUGUAGUGCUUUAUUUUAUCAAUGAUUUGACAUAUUUUAUUAUAGAUUAUAUUUUUAAUUACGCUUUUCGUUUGUAUAUAGAAUAAAAUACUCUAAACUGGCUAGUGUAGUGCUCUCGUGAGCAACUAGCAAUAUUUCCUUAAUGAUAGUGUAGUGCUUUAUUUUAUCAAUGAUUUUGACAUAUUUUACUAUUAUUUAUGAAUGAACACUUUAUUCACUUUACUAUUAUUUAUGAAUGAACACUUUAUUCACUUGGUAUCCUCUAUUUCGAUUUUUUUUUUGUGUUCCACUAUUAAUUUUUUAAAAUUAUUCUUCAUUUAAAAAAAAAUUACAAUAAAGUAUGAUUUUUACAAUUAAUAUAAUUAAACUUUAUAGUUAAAAAUAAUAAUUAAAAAAAAAUCAAUUCUUUGCAAUAAAAGUUAAUUAGGAUUCCCUAUAUAAUAUUUAUUUUAUUUUAUAAUAAAUAAUAUUAAAUUAGUAAAACCAAAAUUUGGUAAAAGUUCAUGUAAUUAAACGCAAUUACGUUUUUUUUUUUAUGAAAUUUCUUUACAAGUAAUACAAACCACACACACCCCACCUAUGGUGGUUAUUGUGGCCGAGAGUACUCGAACCUGUGACCUUUUGGACAACAGGCAACCACCCCAUCCACUAGGCCAUACCAAGGGGACCGCAAUUACGUUUAAUUAAACGGAAAAGAGGCCAACCAAAGCAGCUGGUGCAGCUUAAUUUCCUUCAACAGUAUCUUCAACCUAAGCCAAUUUUUCUAAUUUUGCUUGCAUAGUACAGUAUAUUCGUAUAGUUAUAUUAAGCAACACAGUUUCAAUUUAUUGGAUUCUAAACAACCAAGCAACAAAAAUCACAAUACAAGAACAGAAAUAAAGCUUAAAUCUGCAGAAGUUACAAGCAAAGGCUCAUGGGCCGAAUCUUACCAAAAUAACUCCAUGUGGAACUAAGCAAGUCUAGAAUAAAUUCUCCAGAUUAAUUAAUAAUACAAGGAAUGGAAUAUAUAUGGCCACCACGCCCAUGUACAAAAGAAAUAUACACAUUUAUUUGAAAGAAAGUGAUUAAAGCGAGACAAGGUUGCAGAGAAAAGAAUGCAAAUAAUUAAAGAGAAACACUUGGGACAUGGAACAACAAGACUGUAGGUCGAAGGGGGGGGAGAAAAGUACCCUGCAACAAAAACCAAGAUGAUACAAGUUUAGAAUGCGUCGAGCUUUAUAGUUAAAACCUUAUCGAGAUACCAUCUUUUAGAGAAAAACUAAAUUGAAGCAACAGAAUUGGGAAUUGAGAAUGAGAUUGGUGCAAGCAUUACCCGGGUGGAGACUAGACUAGUUAGUCAAGGAUGAUAAUUGAAGGGACAUGGCUGACUUUGUGGAAAUCCUCUCCUGAUGCGAUACCCUCUUCCCCAUUUCCGCAUUAGAAUCUCAUUUCCGAAGGUAGAAAUGCCACUCAAACCAUUGGAAGCAUCUUCAGACUGGAACAAUAUCGAUCUCAAUUCAGAGAGAAGGGGCAUGGCUCCUGCCUCCACUCUCCACUCCCUCAACUUUGAUAACUAUAGUAAGACUUGAGGCGAGGAAAACUGUUUGAUGGACACGUCAUCUCCUCCCCCACAAAUGAUUUCCUCCAUAAAUGCAAAUAUAUCAAGCAAGGAAGCUUCCCCAGUAUCCCCAUUGGAUCAUCCUCAAUCUCACAUUCGGACAGCACCAAACUUAUAAGUUUUGAACUGAUGAAGUCACUCCCGCACUCUGCUAGCGCCUUCCCUAACUUAACUUCAAUCCACAACUCAUGAAGAUUGGGACAUGUGAUUACCUUCUUCAGUGUUAACACUCCAUUAUUUGUUCCUAACUCGCAACCCUUUUUGAUUUCAACCCUACAAAACAGUAACUUUUCCAUGAGAGCAAUGGCGUCGAUGUUGGCUGACAAGCUUUCGUUGUCGUAUAUUUUUGUUGAGAAAGUUCGCAGAUUCUUCAUUCUGUUCAUACAUUUUAAAUCAUGCACUCUACUAUCCAAAUUCCACAGGGUCUCCAACUCAAUCACUCCCUCGUCCAAUGUCAAUCGAUAACUUCCAAUUUUUUCCUCAUCAUAAUCGGGAAGAACCAAGUGCUUUAAACGUACCAUCUCCUUAAAAACAUUUGGAACUUCAACAUUCCUCGAAUCAGUUAAAUCAAGGGUAUCCAUGUAUACCAAAUUCCUUAUGGACGAUGGUAGCUUAUCAAAUUCACAUCUUUCUAAACGCAAACGUCUAAGGUGAACAAGACUAGUGAUUCCUUUCGAUAACUUUCUUCCUUCAAAUUUGAAUCCCACCAUAACUAGAUCUCUCAACAAUUUGAAUUUCUGAAAAUCAACGAUACCUUGCGGGGGAAACUCAACAAUAACACCCGAACCUUUGUGAUUGAACAUUUGAAGAGACCUUAAAUGUUCGCUACUAUCUUCUCCCCAAGUGACUGUAAGCUCGUCAGGUUCCACUUGAACUUCUUUCCUGAAAUAUAUAGCCAAAUGCCGUAUUUUCCUAUGCGAGGAAGCUUUCCCACUUUGAUACUCCAAACUCUGCACACCAAAAUCCUCACUUCUCCCCAAUUUCAAACAUAGUUCUCUUACUACAUCAUGAAGUUUGCAGCUCAAAUAUCUUCUUCCAGGUGCGACACCAUCGUAAAUUUCGACUUGGACGAUGGACCUGGAGGCCAACUCACCCAAGUAGAGCUCUGCAAUUUCCAUCAAAGUUUUGUCCUUG
RNAcentral lists this long non-coding RNA (3772 nucleotides) under Salvia miltiorrhiza (redroot sage). Its description in RNAcentral is "long non-coding RNA (SMIL_LNC007161)". Lineage: Eukaryota; Viridiplantae; Streptophyta; Magnoliopsida; Lamiales; Lamiaceae. The record is from RNAcentral.